UGACAUUUUUUUGUCUGUGCUGAUUUUAGCAAUAAAAAAAAGUCAUAUAUCUGGUACGGGGGGGUGGCCCUCCAACCCAAGACUUCACCACAGCAGAGGAGCUGGCCCUGGACUUAAAUAAAGGGAAGCCAGUGAUUGAAGGGAUCCAGGGAGGGACAGCCACUGACUCUGGCCCAGCAAGGGAUACUGGCCUCUUCAUACAAGUGGCUGGCAACACCCUUACACUUUUGGAGCCACCAGACUAUGAUUCGCCGAGGGAAGCCACAUCUACAGCAGUGGAGUGCACUUUUGCCGAUGAUGAGACCGUGUCGCUGGACUCCAGAAGGCUCGAGGAUCCUGACACUGGGCAGCCUGAUAAGCAGCCUGGUAACAUAAUAUCUCUACACAACGCAUCUUAAGAGACAGAUCGAGCUGUCAGAAGUCAAGAUUGAUGUGAACAAAAGAAAGCUGCAGGACAUGGA
This is a long non-coding RNA of Xyrauchen texanus (razorback sucker), 461 nucleotides long. RefSeq lists it as uncharacterized. The record is from RefSeq and is a predicted model, not a curated record. The transcript has 5 exons. NCBI's taxonomy places the organism in Eukaryota, Metazoa, Chordata, Actinopteri, Cypriniformes, Catostomidae.